This 310-nucleotide unclassified non-coding RNA is filed under the name Hevea brasiliensis (rubber tree). Lineage: Eukaryota; Viridiplantae; Streptophyta; Magnoliopsida; Malpighiales; Euphorbiaceae. The record is from RNAcentral.
AAAAAGGCAGAAAUGCUAGAGACCCCCCGACCUUGUAGCUUUUUAUUCAGUGAAUACCUUAACUAUCACUAAUAUGAAAUACCCCCGGAACUUAUUUUUUCAACCGUUAUAUACACCUACAACGUCCACCUGGCAUAGAAACUGACAACAAGCUCAGCUAGGCGCGUGAGGGAGUAAAUAUUUUGCCGCAUCAUAUUACUUCAAUGGUGAGAAACAUUAAAAAUUCUUGUUUCUUUAUUUUUUUCCUUUUUUUGCACAGCAUCUCUCUUAAUUCUCUUCCUAUUUAUUCUCCCUAAACCCUUCUUCUCCA